CGUGGCUACACUUCCGUCUAAAGUUGACAGAUCAGAAACGUAAAUACAAAUCAGUUUUAGUUGUUUAAUACUAAACAUGGGAUCAAGUGGUGAAUUCGGAAAUCCACUGAGAAAGUUCAAGCUUGUUUUCCUUGGAGAACAAAGUGUUGGGAAGACAUCCUUAAUCACAAGAUUUAUGUAUGACAGCUUUGACAACACUUACCAGGCCACAAUAGGAAUAGACUUCUUAUAAAAGACCAUGUAUUUAGAAGAUCGCACAGUA
Dreissena polymorpha is the source of this 262-nucleotide long non-coding RNA. RefSeq lists it as uncharacterized. NCBI's taxonomy places the organism in Eukaryota, Metazoa, Mollusca, Bivalvia, Myida, Dreissenidae. The record is from RefSeq and is a predicted model, not a curated record. The transcript is spliced from 3 exons.